CAGUCGCCGCGGUAAUACGUAGGGUGCGAGCGUUAAUCGGAAUUACUGGGCGUAAAGCGUGCGCAGGCGGUUAUAUAAGACAGUUGUGAAAUCCCCGGGCUCAACCUGGGAACUGCAUCUGUGACUGUAUAGCUAGAGUACGGUAGAGGGGGAUGGAAUUCCGCGUGUAGCAGUGAAAUGCGUAGAUAUGCGGAGGAACACCGAUGGCGAAGGCAAUCCCCUGGACCUGUACUGACGCUCAUGCACGAAAGCGUGGGGAGCAAACAGGAUUAGAUACCCGCGUAGUCCCUGUCUCUUAUAC
This 301-nucleotide ribosomal RNA is filed under the name uncultured bacterium. RNAcentral describes it as "partial 16S ribosomal RNA". It matches the Rfam family "Bacterial small subunit ribosomal RNA", at positions 509 to 807 of the family's 1533-position model. The record is from RNAcentral.